Molecule: ribosomal RNA, 116 nt
Organism: Danio rerio (zebrafish)
Lineage: Eukaryota; Metazoa; Chordata; Actinopteri; Cypriniformes; Danionidae
Source: Ensembl
GUAUACAGCCAUAUCACCAUGCAGCCCAAGACCAGUUACUCAAUAAGCUGAGCAGGGCUGAGUCUGUUCAGUACCUGAAAGGGAGACCGCAUGGGAAAACUAGGUUGCUGUUGGAA